Molecule: long non-coding RNA, 307 nt
Filed under: Lotus japonicus
Lineage: Eukaryota; Viridiplantae; Streptophyta; Magnoliopsida; Fabales; Fabaceae
Description: long non-coding RNA (LJAP_LNC000850)
Source: RNAcentral
CAGUCUUGAGAAUAGGAAUUGAGAGGUCGCUCUCUUUGUGAGGUCCUGGAGUUGAUUUUUCACUACCCUGCAGUGGCACAAGUGUUUUGGUGAUACACAAGAUUGUAAUAAAAAUGAAAUAUUAUCUGCUUGAAAGCUGUAGUAAUUUUCUUUACUUAGAAUUCCUAUCCCUUUUUUUUAAAUCAAUUAUCAAUUUAGGUGCAUGUGUAUCUGGUCUGGUAUGGGCGGAUCAAUGUACUUAGUAAUUGGGCUGACCAAAUUAUGUAUCAAAUGGGCCGGGUGACCCAUGAUCCAACCGGAUCAAAAC